Molecule: ribosomal RNA, 164 nt
Filed under: uncultured bacterium
Lineage: Bacteria
Description: partial 16S rRNA
Rfam family: Bacterial small subunit ribosomal RNA
Source: RNAcentral
UAGGGAAUCUUCCACAAUGGGCGCAAGCCUAAUGGAGCAACGCCGCGUGAGUGAAGAAGGUCUUCGGAUCGUAAAACUCUGUUGUUAGAGAAGAACAUGCGAGAGAGUAACUGUUCAAUGUGUGACGGUAUCUUACCAGAAAGGAACGGCUAAAUACGUGCCGG